CUCUUAGAUGUUCUGGGCCGCACGCGUGCUACACUGAGUGGAUCAGCGGGUCAGGUUGCGCGAAAGUGUUUCCUAAUCUUGAAAUCCGCUCGUGAUGGGGAUUGACGGUUGCAAUUUUCCGUCAUGAACGAGGAAUACCUUGUAAGCGCGGGUCAUCAUCCCGCGCUGAAUACGUCCCUGCCCUUUGUACACACCGCCCGUCGCUCCUACCGAUUGAGUGGUCCGGUGAGGCUUUGGGAUCUGAGCAAAGAGAGCGUUUCGCUCGUUUUGCCCGGAAAACUCAGUCGAACCUUAUCAUUUAGAGGAAGGAGAAGUCGUAACA
RNAcentral lists this ribosomal RNA (322 nucleotides) under uncultured eukaryote. RNAcentral's name for it is "partial 18S ribosomal RNA". It matches the Rfam family "Eukaryotic small subunit ribosomal RNA", at positions 1470 to 1796 of the family's 1831-position model. The record is from RNAcentral.